UUAUUUUUAUUCAACUGAUGUGACUGCAAGAAAAUCACUUAGCAGUAGAUAUGUCACAAGGUAGGACGCAAAAUUUGACCAAACCAACCAAUUUUUUAAUUCAUUUACAACCACAUGUUUGAUGUUUACAUUUUCUAUAUGUGAAUUCUUAAUUUCUUUGGGUUUUGUUGGCUAAUCAUGCCACAAAGUACAAAAUUUAACUAUUUGGUUAGUCACAUAUAUUGUAUAAUAGAUAUACAAUAAAUUACUAGUGUGUUGAGAGCAUUUAU
RNAcentral lists this long non-coding RNA (269 nucleotides) under Phaseolus vulgaris (common bean). RNAcentral's name for it is "long non-coding RNA (PVUL_LNC001744)". The record is from RNAcentral. Lineage: Eukaryota; Viridiplantae; Streptophyta; Magnoliopsida; Fabales; Fabaceae.